UAUAGAAGUAAUUAAGGCUAAAUUUGGUUGUAAGGGUGGGACCCUGAUCCAACAGAAUCAAUGUCCUUGUAAGAAGAGCCAGGAGAGAGCUUGCUUUCUCUCCACUAUGUGAGGACACCGUGAGGAGGCAGCUCUCUGCAAGCCAGAAGAAGAGCCCUCUCUGGAAACCAAAUCAGCAGUUGGAGCAAAACAGGAAGUAGUAAACAUUCCUUGAAAUCUAUUUCAGAGCUGUUCCUUUGGGGCUAUGAAAUAAAAGACAAGACUGGUAGAAAUGACUUAAAAUGCAAAAAUGGCAAAGGUAAUGAUCACUGUGGGUAGGUUAUAAACGACUGUGGAGAUUUGGGGAGGCUAAAUCAUCCAGCCAACGGAAA
Molecule: long non-coding RNA, 371 nt
Filed under: Pan troglodytes (chimpanzee)
Lineage: Eukaryota; Metazoa; Chordata; Mammalia; Primates; Hominidae
Description: long non-coding RNA NONPTRT002008
Source: RNAcentral